RNAcentral lists this long non-coding RNA (2274 nucleotides) under Homo sapiens (human). RNAcentral describes it as "HSALNT0404445". The record is from RNAcentral. Lineage: Eukaryota; Metazoa; Chordata; Mammalia; Primates; Hominidae.
AGUGUGUGUUUCAGAAGUCCCGGCCCCAGGCAGCUCUCCUGAACAGAGCCACUGGAACUCAGGAGGGUCAGGACCACAGCCCAAACAACUGCGACCGAAAACACCCUACAGGGCUUGAGAACUAAAAAAUAAGGAGGGAUCUGGGCAGCCGAGCUGCCUCCUAAAGAAGCCACGUCAUAGAGAAAACUGCUUGCUCUAUCCAUGAGACGGAGGCGGCCGGGGUGUCCUGCCAGCAGACACGGGUCUGUCCAUCACCGGCCACCACGCUGCCUCUGUCCUUCACUCCCAUUUAAGGGAAAACGAUAUCUCUUCAUCUUUCUGCCCUGGACAUUGGAAAUCAGCGGUGAGAACAGUGCUCUUGCUACAAAAUGCUCAGGUUCUAGAAUGCUCCCAUCUUUCCUUCCAUUCCACAUGGAGUUUAUCCAAAGCACAAAGGCCAGUCACGGCACUGACAUCCGUGGUGCCCGCUCACCGGGGAGUGGGAAGCACAAGCCUGUCCUCAGAGGACCGUGACUGUGAGCCCGCAGCUGCUUGUGGGUGGGGCCAGCCCGCAGCUCCUCCUGGAGGCCUCGGGCUUCUUGCUGCUGCAUUUCUGUGACAUGUGGAGGGAGGAUCGUUUUGACACCUGCCUGGGAAGUUUCAAAGGAGAUGGCCUCUGGGCAGGGGUUUUAAACUGAAGGGCACCACACAGAUCCAGAUGUGAACUGUGGCUGUUGUUUGCAAUUGAAGCAGAGAUGCAGAGGAUGGAACAGGAGUGCUGGCCAUGCUGCUCUAUGGCCUUGGCCCAGCCAAGACCUGCAGUCAAUGGGGCUACGGGACCCCCGCUACACAGGGACCUGGGAACCACCUUUGCCGCGGUUGACCGCUGGGCCCGCCAUGCACCGCCCACACCUGGCUGUGCCUGGAGACUGAGAGCAGGGGGUGACGGUGGGCCUGGAAGAGUCUCUCCCUUUUGCAAACGCCAGCCACAGAGGUUUAUUUUUCUCCCUGAGAGAAGGAAGAGUGAAGGCUGAGACUGAGACAGAAGGACAGAAGGAGAAGACUUAGAAGCCAGUGAGCCCGGAACCACGAGACGCGCUCUGAGGACACGGGGCCUCGGGGAAACCGGGCACGGGCAGGGGUUGGUCUUGGCUUCCCCGCAACAUUGCCGCGAGCUCGGGUGCCGUCUCCACUCGCAGGCUGGCCUGUCCUCUGCAGCCACGAGCUCAGGCACCGUCUCCGUUCAUAGGCCAGCCUGUUCUCUGCAGCCUGAGGUCCCUGUGGUGCCAACAUCCAGAUGCUGAGAUAAUUCUGCCAGGGUGUUGGCUGAUCGGUGAUUGGUGGUUGGCUGUUCCGUGAGUUCUGCAUUGAUCUUGCUGGCUGAGCGUCCAAUGCGGAGGGGCAGGUGCUGUUAGGGUCUCCACUCCCAUCCCUCUCCCCAGGACUCAUCACCCACUGCAACCGUAAGCUGCUAGGGGCUCACAGCCGUGAGUCUUUGGGACGGGUGGUCCCACCUGGCAUGUAGCUCAGGCUCCUAGCCCCAGGACCCUGCCGCUGCUCCCCUCCCGCCCACAUCUUGGCUUAGCCGUCUUCCCUGGCUGCCAGCCCCUUCCCCUGGUCUUAGUUGGCUUGAGCCACUAAACUGAAAUAGCACACCCUGAGGCCUUCAACAGCAGACCUGAUUUCUCACCAUCUGGAGGCUGGAGGUCCAGGAUCCAGGCCCCCAAGGCUGCUUUCUCCCCCACUCCCCCACCCACCUUCCAGGACACGCAGACUCCACCCUCUUGCUGCCCUGUCUCAGGGCUGUCCCUCUGGGCAAGCAGGCCCCUGGCAUCCCCGUGUGUCUUCUCCUCCUGUUCUUAUAAGGACACCAGUCAUACUGGAUCUGGGCCCACCCUAGUGACCUCAUUUACCUUAAUCACCUCUGAAAGACCUUGUCUCAAAAACAGCCACAUUCUGGGGCACUGAGGGUUAGGGCUUUAACAUGGGAAUUUGAGGGAUGCAAUUCACCCCAUAAAACCCAGACCAUUCCCCCAGUAAAUCACUUUCACAAGAGCUCUUCUCUCAGGCUUUGCUUCUGGGGGAUCCCCCUUGAGAUGGAUCCAUCUAGCUUCCUGCUUCUCAAAGAACAGAGGGGAGAGCUCUGGUGCGAAGGGAACGGGUGGCCUCGGGGACCUGCGGAUAAGCUGCUGGCACUGCCAGGGGACAGGCUGAGCUGAAAGCCAGGAGGAGGGCGGCGAGGCCCGGGGCCGGACCUCAUUCUUCUGAGUGUUAUAAAAUCUGGCUUUGCUCAGA